AAAGUUUACACUUCCUGUGGGGUACUAAGAAGUACUUUUCAAGUUACAGGGUACAAAAUCCUCUGGGGUAGCAGCUACUUAUGCGUGCCUUUUCUAAGACGGAUAGAGCCUUUGUCAUAAUUUGUAAAUGUGGUCUGCUGAAUAAUCUUCUGCACAGCAAAAUCUCCAGUUUUGAAAUCCUAGUGUUGGUACUUUUAGAGUAAAGUGUUAAAGUGGUGUUGAAUUAACACUAGCUAGUGUAAACAGCCCCCUCUGGCGGUAUAAAUACGCAGAGUUACCUUUAUUAACACUGUUGAGUGUUAUAAGUCACAUCCGGGACUCGUGUGGGCGCGCAUGACCCAUCUGAAAUAUUUUUUCACAGACACCAUUUUCUUUGCUCGCGAUGCGGCGCAUAUGAGGAUGGAAAACGGCGAAAUAAAGUGUUUAAUCUUAUUCAUAAAAUGUGUUUUAUAAUAUAUCGUUUUAUAACUAUAUUUAUUUGCUGUGCACAUAAACUUUUCUCAACGACAUUUCGUUUCAAUCGCUAAAAGAGAUAUUUUAUUUCACUCACGAUGGGGAGAAGACGGGGACUUUGGUUUUAUCAAAGGAAAACACCAUAAAUUUGUACUGCGGUGCACUGCAGACGCGGAGGCUGCUCAGAGAAGGCAGAGACCAGAAAGAGAUAUUUUCUUCACUCGAAGCGGAGGUUUAGGGGAAGUUGGUUUUUAACAAGGAAAACACCGAAAGCAGUGUUUUAUCUACGUGAAUUUACUCUUCCUUGUCCCUGAGGUUUAAUCAUCACGUGAACCAACACCCCCCCCCCCACUCAAAAUACGUUGCUGUGACUAUGAGACCAACAUGAACUGGUCAUCGCUGGUGAAAAUUUCUGUUAGGUAACUAAAAUCACAAGAGAUGGAUAUACAGGUAAGUCUCUCUCACACACACACACACACACACACUGUAAUCUUUCUCUCUCGCAAUCAGACGAAAGAAUAAUUC
This is a long non-coding RNA of Carassius gibelio (silver crucian carp), 978 nucleotides long. RefSeq lists it as uncharacterized. The record is from RefSeq and is a predicted model, not a curated record. NCBI's taxonomy places the organism in Eukaryota, Metazoa, Chordata, Actinopteri, Cypriniformes, Cyprinidae. The transcript is spliced from 5 exons.